Molecule: long non-coding RNA, 313 nt
Filed under: Lathyrus oleraceus (garden pea)
Lineage: Eukaryota; Viridiplantae; Streptophyta; Magnoliopsida; Fabales; Fabaceae
Description: Pisum sativum (pea) long non-coding RNA (PSAT_LNC032828)
Source: RNAcentral
UCGAAGUGUUCAGAAGACUAAGAGUUAUGAUGAAUGUAGAUAGCUUAGACACAAUGAAUUAGGGGUUGUGUUGAAUUGUAAUUCCUUGUGUCGAAGCAAGUUGCUCGACAGAAGUAAGGAAGUGUCGAACCACCGAGUGUGUUGAGUAGUGUUAGCUAUUUUGAACUUUAUAAUUUUGGGCUUUUAUAGUUUUUGGCUUUGGCUUGAGGUUCAAGUUAACCUAAAUCUAAAAAUAGAGGGAGUAACCCUUAUUUUUAAAACAAUGAGGUGAAUAGAGUAUUUAUAACAUUGUACUCAUAGUAUUUUGCAGUUG